UUUUUUUCUUCUUUUUUU
Molecule: small RNA, 18 nt
Filed under: Arabidopsis thaliana (thale cress)
Lineage: Eukaryota; Viridiplantae; Streptophyta; Magnoliopsida; Brassicales; Brassicaceae
Description: ATSL131540
Source: RNAcentral